UCGUCGGACUAGGACAAAUGCUGGCGGCCAUAUCUACGCCGCCACGGCCAGGCAUGGCUAGAGGUGGUGGUGCUCGUUGUUGAAAGCCACGCCGGCUAACUUGUGUGGCUGGUGUGUCUAUAACUCCAUAACGCGGCGUAGGUGGCCGGCGAGGUAUCACAGUUCCUAAAUCUGGAGUCUUUUCUUCGCUAACUGGAGUUGGAGCUCCACGACCAUAUAACGGGACGAUAGUCUUUUGAGAGACUUCGCUUUUGCAUACGGGGCACUGCGGGGCUUUCUUUUCUGGGUUUUCUGGUGAUGUAUUUUGAUGAUGAAUCCAUUUAUAGAUACAAGGCCAACAAUAGAGGUGGCCACAGAGUGUCACUACCGGAUCUUGAACAGAUUCUAGACAGAUAUUACAGUCAAACCCACCGGAAACUCCAUUAUCCAGUUUAUCGAUGCUUUUCCAUGGUUUAUCAUCUUUGUUAAAGCUGUUUUCACGUUCGUUAUUAUCGA
RNAcentral lists this long non-coding RNA (495 nucleotides) under Lactuca sativa (garden lettuce). Its description in RNAcentral is "long non-coding RNA (LSAT_LNC008655)". Lineage: Eukaryota; Viridiplantae; Streptophyta; Magnoliopsida; Asterales; Asteraceae. The record is from RNAcentral.